AGCGUGUACAUUAUUCUCCGUUUCUGCAUCAUUUCCUUCUGUGUGUUGAGGAGGAAUACCUGACGCAAGACGUUGAGAACUCUAAAAGAAAAAAAGUAACGCUUCAAAGAUCCUUCUAGUCAUUCAAUAGCUGGAGAGAACAUUUCCAUUAUGAUGGUGUAGAGACUUACAAUAAUGUUUCCGUUGGAUUCAUGAAGAUAGUGAAGUGCCAGCUCCUGAUUGGUGCCUCCACCUGGUAAUAUACUGGAACAGGCUGCCGUCAGCAACUCCUCGACUACUGAUGAAAAACAGAAACCAUUAGAAAUGAUACAUGCUUAUGACCUAUAGGACCUCCAGCAAAUCAGUCUCUAGAACAAUAGUUUUGGAGCAGGUGACAGGAUUGGAAGUGGAUGCAAAAUUCAAACGCAUAUCCUGUCACCGGGACAACGAUUAGAGAUCCCAAUCCGACUGAGCAUCUGCAAGAUGUGCUGGAAAAACAAGUCCAACCAUGGAGGCCGCACCUCACAACUUACAGGACUAAGAGCGAAAUGUCUUGGUGCCAGAUACCACAGAACACCUUGCGGAGCGCAUGCCUCAAUGGGUGACAGCUGUUUCAGCAGCAUGAGAUGCGCUUAUAUAACAUACGUUUUAAUGUUAGGUCAGUGUGCUCCAACUCUAUGCCUAAAAUGUGGUGUAAACGAUCAGUACCACUUGAGUUUCUACCUAAUCUGAUAUGAAACACUUGCAAGGAGUGAGAUCCAGACACAGUUAUGUGUUUGUCAUAUUAGAUAUAUG
Hyla sarda is the source of this 774-nucleotide long non-coding RNA. RefSeq lists it as uncharacterized. NCBI's taxonomy places the organism in Eukaryota, Metazoa, Chordata, Amphibia, Anura, Hylidae. The record is from RefSeq and is a predicted model, not a curated record. The transcript is spliced from 4 exons.